This is a transfer RNA of Felis catus (domestic cat), 73 nucleotides long. It matches the Rfam family "tRNA". Rfam says of the family: Transfer RNA (tRNA) molecules are approximately 80 nucleotides in length. The record is from Rfam. Lineage: Eukaryota; Metazoa; Chordata; Mammalia; Carnivora; Felidae.
GCCUGGCUGGCUCAGUUGGUAGAGCAUGAGACUCUUGAUCUCUGGGUUGUAAGUUAGAGCCCCAUGUUGGGUG